Oxyura jamaicensis (ruddy duck) is the source of this 1167-nucleotide long non-coding RNA. RefSeq lists it as uncharacterized. The record is from RefSeq and is a predicted model, not a curated record. Lineage: Eukaryota; Metazoa; Chordata; Aves; Anseriformes; Anatidae. The transcript has 4 exons.
GUUUAAGAAAUACAUGUCUCGUCUCUAAAACUGCAGCAUUUAUUCUGAGAAUAUCUGAACUGCCUAUUAAAAGCAAGGGUCUCUGCCUGCAAUCUGUACACAAACCUGUGAUUCAAAUUCCAUCCGACAAAAUGUUUUGGUGUCUGAAAGGCAAUUGACUCUGUUUCUGUGCUGUGUCAUUUUUAACUUAUGUUCUCAGCUCGUGCUGUGCAGAUGCAUUUGUCUUCAUUAGACAGGUGUACCGGCGUGACAAAGGUAGUUAUGGUCCAACGUAGUUUUUGUGUUUGCUCAGCAGGUACUUGCGAGUACAAGAGUAAAAUUUGAAACAAAAUGUUUUAAUUAUUGAGUCUGAAAACAGUAUUCUAAGUACUGUCAGCCAACAGAAUUGGAAUUAGCUUUAGAUUAAUCAAUUCCUAGCUUUUUACUGAGGAAAAAUUCGGAAGAAAGAAACUGCAAACUCUCUGGAGGUAUUUAAUUUACAGCAGUGGCCAUUAAAGGAAACCUGCUUUGCCUUGGAUUCUUUACAAACCUUUCAAACUGAAGAAACUGAACAGAAGGAAAACUCUUGAGACACAGCGGUUCAUUACAGGACUGUUCUUCAGCUGGAUAAAUUGAAGGAGUGGCACCUUUGUAAUAAAACUGCAGAUCAUAUGCCUCCAGCAAGGAACAGAUUAAAAGGACAAACAAACAGAACUGUCACAUCAGAACCAUCGCCCAUUACCUUGGCCACUUCCAAUUAUCAACAUUUCCAAAAGCAGCUAUUCCACUUCUGAGCUGUAAGUUUACCUGAAAGGUUUUUAUAAAUUAAAACUGAAUUUUGAAAAGGCAAUCUUUGCGUAGGUUUCGCUUCAGAACAUUAGCAUUACAAAUAUUGUAUCUCAGCCAUAAAAUUGCUUUGUAAAAUUGUAUUGCCUUUCAUGCAUAUAAAUCUAUGCAUACAUAUAAUUUUAAAAAUGUAUAUAAUGCAGUUCAUGCUGUGUAUUUUACUAAAAAUACUAUUUAUAUUGUUAGAUAACAAUAUUUUAUGUUGUAUUUAUAUUUCAUAUAUUAAAAUCAUUUCUAUUUUCACGUGUACUUUACCCAUAUCCACAUCUUUCUGAAAGGAGAUUUAAUGCUGGAAAGAAUUAUGUUGAAGUUUAAUCAGAGUUUAGUAUAUCUGCUAGUGUU